GAUGAACGCUGGCGGCGUGCCUAAUACAUGCAAGUCGAGCGAACAGAUGAGGAGCUUGCUCCUCUGACGUUAGCGGCGGACGGGUGAGUAACACGUGGAUAACCUACCUAUAAGACUGGGAUAACUUCGGGAAACCGGCGCUAAUACCGGAUAAUAUAUUGAACCGCAUGGUUCAAUAGUGAAAGACGGUUUUGCUGUCACUUAUAGAUGGAUCCGCGCCGCAUUAGCUAGUUGGUCAGGUAACGGCUUACCAAGGCAACGAUGCGUAGCCGACCUGAGAGGGUGAUCGGCCGCACUGGAACUGAGACACGGUCCAGACUCCUACGGGAGGCAGCAGUAGGGAAUCUUCCGCAAUGGGCGAAAGCUUGACGGAGCAACGCCGCGUGAGUGAUGAAGGUCUUCGGAUCGUAAAACUCUGUUAUUAGGGAAGAACAAAUGUGUAAGUAACGAUGCACGUCUUGACGGUACCUAAUCAGAAAGCCACGGCUAACUACGUG
RNAcentral lists this ribosomal RNA (497 nucleotides) under uncultured bacterium. RNAcentral describes it as "partial 16S ribosomal RNA". It matches the Rfam family "Bacterial small subunit ribosomal RNA", at positions 28 to 507 of the family's 1533-position model. The record is from RNAcentral.